ACUCCCUUAGUAUACUAAGGACCUGGAGGCAAUCUUGCCAGACUUCCUCUGCAGGCAUCUUUAAUUUUCUUGUAUCAUAAAUUUUUAUCUUACAUUCUAUACAAGGGGGAAUCACUGAGCUGAUGAGUGAGCCUAACCAUUUGCCCGACACCAUUGCAGAAACUGGUUAUUUUACCAAGGCUUUGACUGGAAUAGUGUGCUUCCCUUUAAGGAAUCAAACUUGACUUUUGGAGCUAAUAAAAGCCCCUUGGGAAAACUGCUCUCUUACCUUGUCUACACAGUCUCUGGACAGAGUUCCUGACCUGUGUAUCCAGAAUGAGUGAUCCUUGAAAAUCUCAAAUUGGAUCAUGUCCUUCAGCUACUUAAAACCUGUCAAUGAUGACCAGUUGUACUUCAAGUAAAAUCCAAAUCCUCUCAAGGUACCAAGGGGAGAAGGAAGAAACAAUACAAGAAUUGGCCCCAGGAAAUAUUUAUUCUAAAUCCGGCACAUGCAAAACCCCGAGAUAGCCAUCAAGGACAAAAAUCGUCACUGGGAGGUGGGAAGCCCUGAAGGAAAAGCACUAGUCUUGGUGUCAGAAGACCUAUGCUUGUGUUUUCACGCUGACAGGACAUGUGUAUCUCAACAAGUAUCUUCAUCUUCUGAACCUAUUUCCUCAUCUAUAAAAGGUCACUAACACCCAUUUUGAAAAACCACAUGUAGGUUAGGAGGAUUCAAUGUAUGUGAAAGAGUUCUUCAAACUCCUAAGCACUUGCUGUGCUGAUGGUAAAGGUGAUAAUGAGGAGGAAGGAGUGUCUGCUAUGGGAAAACCACUGUCCUAAAACUUUUAAAUACAUUGUUAAUUAAUCUGCACCAAUAAGUCUACGAAUUAGAUUCUAUCAUAAUCUCAAUUUUACAGAUGAGGUUCAGAGAGAUGACAAAUUUUCCCCAAUAUCACACAGUCAUUUUAAUGGUGGAACAGAAAUUUUAACCCAAAUCUAUCUGGCUCCAUAGUUAACACUCUUAACUACCAUAUUAUAUGGCCCCAAUCUAACUCCCUUAUCUUUGGGAAAUACUUUUAUUUAUAGGUCAAUGACACAGAGUUACAGAUCCUGGGUACAGCCUGGGUCUGUAACUUACUCAAUGUAUAAUGCUGGGUAAGUCUUAACCUCUCUGUGCCUCAUCUGUUAAAUGAAAGAGUUGAACUCUAGGAUCUCUCAAGUUCAUUCCCUUUGAGUUCAUCUAACAUUAUACGGUCUUCGUUCUUGUUGGUACAAUAGUUUAUUAGGUAAUUGUUUAUUAGAUAAUUAACAGUCCAUGUCACCUUGGCUAUCUGCCAAAUGAAUAGAAGCACACUACAGAUAUUAGAGAGGGAGGGUUGAAGGGAAAAGAUUUCCAAGGGCUUUGGCAGGUGGAGAAGGCUUUUUGGAGAGGAUAGGCCUGAACCGUUUCACCAUUAAAAGCACUUUUAUUAUUUUUCUCCAUAGUCACUAUAUUUACAAAGAUUUUAUGUUUACUUAACAUUGUGUCAUGGUCUGGCAAAAGAGAGCAUCUGCAGCCCCUCCAGGAAAGAAGAGAAAUCCUGUAAUCCCUAGAGAGAGUCAGGCAGGAGGACAAAAUUAGUGGCUGCAUGCUUACUGCAGACCAGCACGGUAUGAGAACAGUAUUUUGUCAUCAGCUGUGAGUCAGCUAAAAGUUGAAGCCAAAUGUUCAAGCAUUGUUAGGAGUUGAGUCUUUUCUUUGAUGAAGCAUAUGGGAGCCUCAUUCAUCCACACUUUCCUUGCCUCCACAUCCUUGCCAUUAUGGGAAUGGCAUAUAAGCCAGUGAUGCUCAACCAGAAGUGACUUUGUCCCUUAUGAACUAUAGGCGAUAUCCGAAGACAGACUAAAUGCCAUGACUUGGCUGGGGAGGAAGUGGGAGCUUGUUCCUGAUAUCUAGUGGAUAGAGGCCAACAAUACUUAGGGCAGGCUCCCCACCCUCCAUCCCCAGCAACAGAGAAGUAUCUGGUCCAAAAUUUCAAUAGUGCUGAGGCUGAAAAACUCUGAUACAAGGGAACAGCAGUUACAACAAAGAAAAAGAAAGCCAACUCACCAAGAGCAGCUGUAAAUAGAAACAUCUUAUUUUUACUUUCUCCUCUCCUCCCCAGCAUUAAAAGGAAUAGAAAGGAAAGCACUUGGAAUCCCCAGGACAGCUUGUGGAAGGUUUUGGGGUAGUGUGGGUGGAGCUUUAAACUGAAUAUGAGAUUGAUUUUUAAAAUAACUUCUUAUUUUGAAACAGUUUAAGACUCACAAGAGUUGCAAAAAUUAUAGUAUAAAGUCCCCAUAUACUCUUUAGCUAACUUCUUCCAAUAAUAAUGUUAUAUAACCAUAGUAAAUGGCCAAAACCAGAAAAGUGACUGUGAUGCAAUAAUACUGUUAACUCAGGUGCAGAUAUUAUUUGGAUUUCACCAGGAUAUACGUGCACUCUUUUUGUCUAUUUGUUUUGGUAUAUAGUUCUGUGACAUUUUAUCACAUGGCUAGACUCAAGUACCCAUCACCAUAAUCAAGAUACAGAACUGCUCCAAAUCCACAAAGAAACUCUCUCAUGUGUUACCCCUUAAUAGGCGCACGCUUCCUUCAACCCCAGUCUCUAAUAAACACUGAUCUGUUCUUUAUUACUGUAAUUUAGUCAUUCCAAUAAUUGUAUAUAAAUAUAAUUUUACAGUAUAUUGCCCUUUGAGGUUUUGUUUACUGUUUUAUUUUUCAUUCAGCAUAAUGCACUUGAGUCAUCUAAGUUGUUGUAUGUAUCAAUAGUUUAUUCCUUAUUACUGAUGAAUAGGAGCCCAUUGUAUGGAUGUACCAAAGUUUAUUUAACAAUUUACUUGUUGAAGGAUAUCUGGAUUAUUUCCAUUUCUUGGCUGUUAUAAAUAAAGCUGCUAUGAGCUUUUGUGUUCAUCUUUUUGUGUGAACAUAAGUUUUCAUUUCUUUAGGAGAAAUGCCCAGGAAUGUGAUUGCUGGAUCAUUCAUAUGGAUGUCUUCAGGGCCAUGCAUCCAGAGCUUGACAUUGUGCAGUUGUACCUGAAGCCACUGCUCAUUGGAGAACUUGCCCCAGGAGAGCCCAGCCAGGAAAGACACAAAAAUCUUACAUUUGCCUGACUCUUGAAAUAAUUUUUAUAACGUGUGGAUCCAUAGACCCCUGUGAAGCAGAGGGAGCAAGGAUUUUAUUCUCUCUUAAAAAAAUGAAGAAACAGACUCACAAAGGGAGCAGGACUAAUCUGAGGACACAGAACUGGUUAUGGGCAAAUCUGAGACUAAUAGGCUCAGAGCUCAUUUUUGCAGCAUGACGCGGGGCACCUUUCCAUAUUUAGGAAGUCCAAGUGGAACCACGUGGUGCAUAAAUUUGUGAUGUGCCAUCUCAAGAAACAGUCUUUCCAUAAUCAAAAUGAAGACUCAGAAUCAAUAAGAAAAAUAUUUAAUCGUUGAAGUAUUAAGAAGAUGGAAAUAAAUCACAUCAUCACUAAGUUGCAAGCAUUGAAGCCGGGACAUGCAAGGAUCUGAGCCAAGACCCCCAGGGAGAUCACUUCAGAUCCAUGAUUCUUUGAAACACUCAUUGAAGGCCUGUCAGCAGACCGGUGGAAUUACUGGCACUUUGAACAACACGUAAAGCCGAACAUCUACCCCAAAGACCCAGAUAUUGACACGGACCCACUUUUUCUCCUUGGAGAUUCACAACCUGUCAAGGUACACUUAGAAAUCUUGAGCACCGAGGAAAUGUUCCUGGAAGUGGUUCGUGGAAAGGCUUACAGCCUUGCCUUGGAAAGAUCAAGCUGGAAAUUCUGGCUUCACACACAAUCUGAGAACAUCUCUCCUUCUUUUAGGUUCAAAAUACAGAUUUGAAAUAACUGAAUCUGGGGCUGUAAGAAUACAAGGCGAUUUAGAGCCGUAACCAUUAAGUCUAUGACCUUACAGAUCAUCCAGUCCAACCUCCCACGGCAGGAAAUAUGGAAAUCCACAUUACUCUGAGCAAUCCCAGUGACAGAUGGGUCCCUGCCCAGUGCCUGUCAUUUCCUCUGAGGCAAUACAAGCCAAUGUUAGAUCGUGGAACCAGAUGACUGAAGUUGCAAUGACUGUCUGAGGUUUAAACAGGGCAUGGAGAAACAUUCACUGAGAGAAUAUAGGUCAAUAUAUUCAAUAAGCACUAGGUCACAUACGUUCACAUAGCUAGUUAUCUCAACUAAUUCUAGCCCAGUUAGAAAAGACUAUGCUGUUAUAUUUAGUUCAUGUUCAUUUUGGUGCAUUUACACAUGAACUACAGCCCAAAUGCCAUGGAAGAGAUCUACAGGUCUCACCUCUAAUUUGAGCUUCUUAAACAACAGAAAAAAGGAGGGGGAAAACCAUCUUCAGAAUUUCUCAGUUAAUUAUUACUUUUUAAAACUCCAACUUAUUUCUGAGGGCUCUGUUCUGUUCCAUUGAUCUAUAUCUCUGUUUUGGUACCAGUACCAUGCUGUUUUGGUUACUGUAGCCUUGUAGUA
RNAcentral lists this long non-coding RNA (4487 nucleotides) under Homo sapiens (human). Its description in RNAcentral is "non-protein coding lnc-OR5AK2-1:5". Lineage: Eukaryota; Metazoa; Chordata; Mammalia; Primates; Hominidae. The record is from RNAcentral.